UUUUAACAACCUUUCUUGUCCCUUUUCCCUUUUAGCUGGAGAGAAUUAUAAGGGGGGACGGACCUUGUCUGGCCGUCUCUUAGAUAGUAUUAAAGGUCAUACUUGUCCUUUUGGGGAAAAGAGAAGUUGAUUGAGAUGGACAGGAACUGCUGCUGCUGUUAGACUGAUCCCAUUUCAUUUCAGAUGAUGAUUGGUACUCAGCUGGAGCUGAUAGGGAUGGCCAUGUCAUCUGGAUCCAUGUGCCUGAUCUGUUCAAGACAUUCUUUAGCAUUAGGAUGAAGGAGGGAGAUGGUGGGGGUGAUAGCCGUGAUGGUGAAGCUCACUCCAGUAGCCUCUGUCUGUCCUCCCCCUCCCGAAGUCUCUUUCUUUAAGGACCCACAAAGCAAAUGGCAGAUGGAAUAGCUCAUCUCCUCAAUAUUAUGUCUACCAAUUAGGCCUAAUAUCUGCCACACCAAUUUUGGUUAAUUAAUUUCUGGUUCCACAUCUCCUGUUUUUAGUAAGCGUAAUUUUAAGCAUAAUUAUUAUCAACAUGGCCUUUUUUGUUUGGACUAAUUUUGUCUGUCUGAUUCUCCUGUGCCUGUUUAUAACAUUAUUGAAAGCAACUUAACUUACUUUCCAUUAACGUUUUGUAUUAUAGGUUAUUGUAACACCUUAUGAACUUUGAUGUACUUUUUACAGUUGAGCUAACGAUGAAAAUUUGUUGGCCCAGUAACCAGAACACAAUCCCUCUUUUUUUAUGAACUAAUUUUUCCUAGGAUUGGAUAUUUGUUCAUAAAAUCAUAUUUAUAAAGAAAAAUCUUAACUAUAUAAAGGAAAAUGGGUGAGGGGAGUACUUGAUUAUAUUUCAAGGUUGCAAAUUCCUUAUCUCAAAACUGGCAUUUACAAAUCUUAGUUGAUUACAUAUUAAACUUUCCAGAUGUUAACAAAGCGAAGAACUUACAACUCACUUUAUUUGUAGCUUAAACAAAACUUAAAACUGCAGCUGUUCUAUGUCUGUAGAAUGUGUUGGAACAAACCAGCUUUUAUCACGUCUUUGGCUGUAUGCCCAGAAUGGGCAAAGAUGGAAAAAACUCCCCCCUUUUUUUGCUGCUUACACAGUUAAAGCUGUACAUUUUAUACAAACCAUGAACAUUUUAUGCAUUAGUGGUUAAAUUUGCUCACUUGUAGCCCUGAUGGCAUUUUUUCCUCAAGGGUGUGGUAGCCUCCUUUAAAAAGAAGCAAAAAAAUUGUUCUUUCAGAACCACUUUUGCAUUCAUGAGUUAUUUGCAACACUCAAAGUUGGCAAAAACAAAACUUAAAAAAUCACCAAGUUUGGUGUUGAAAGAGCCCUCUAUUUUGGUGGCUUGAGAUUAUUUAUUUAUUUUUUAUUUAUUUAUUUAUUAUUUUACCAUCAAUGUGAUAGCAGCCUUGUAUUAAGUUGGUAUUUUGUUAACAAGGGGGGGGUUACCCAAGAUGUUGUGUUAGGAAAAGUUUGCUUUAAUGACUUGACUUUAAACAAUUUAAAACACUAUUUUUACAACUUUUUUGCUUUUUCUUAAAAAUACUUUUAAGUAUUAUUUACCACAACGCACAGGAGUCUGUGUGGUGAAGAUAAAUUCAUUAAUGGAUCAUUAAGAAUUUAGAUACCAUAGAACAGCUUAUGAGGAAAUUAAUAACUUUGAAUUCAGUGCAGGGCUUAGAUGGUGUGUAAUGCAUAAGACCUGGGGCCAUACACCAUGAAUGUUGAGGAUAAAAAGAAACCCUGGAUAAUAACCCAUUAACUGAACACUGUUCGUGCUGUGCACUUGAAUGAGGCAGGAGUCCUGGGGGGGUAGGGGAAGAGUGCGAUCCUGUAAUUAUAGACCGUCAUAAUGCACGCACACACAAGGGGGCUAAGUUUAGGUCCCACAGGCAACCUUAAUUCUGGCACUGCCUAACUUCUGAGUGCUUGACUUUGCAGCCUUAAACUUCUGUUUAAUGUAGUGCUUGUGGGUGUUCAAUGCUAUAUUAAAGAACACUAUCCACAGGUUUCACCUGGAUAUAUGAGCAUAUAUGGCUUUGUUCCAUCAUUAGUGAACAACUGUAAAGUUUACCAUGACCGAAUACCCUGGUUCUGGGCCUACGUUGCCAGGGGCUGGAUGCCUUUUUGGUUCCCUUCUGGAGCAAGAGGGUAUGCAGAGGCCUCUUAAAAAUCUUAUUUUUGACUUCAGCUGUCUUGGGUUCCUGAUCUGACCAUGAACUACAGUCUCUUUAGGGGUGUGGUUUUGUUCACCCCAGCAGUCUAUCCCAGCUCAGCACUUCAUGUUUCAUUUGCUUUCUUCAUGUAUUUUGGCUGAGAAAACUAGUGUGCUACUUGACAUGACUCGGGUUCUUUCUACAGUGGAAGCGGUACUGUGCAAGAUACAGGUGAGUUAAAAGCAUAGGUGUGACUUGGACGGUUCUAGUGCUUUGAAAACCACUUUUGACUUGCUGAUAAAGCCAUGCUAUAGUAGAUUAACAUUUGUUAUAAGGGGGUUAGUCCAUAGCAUCUUUUAUUCACAACUUACGGGGUUUAAUUUUUUUCUUACUCAGGAGAAAAAUCCAGCUUAGCAAAAUAAAUCUUCUGUCAAAGGUUUCUUCCAUGUUGUGUUUUUUUGUUUUUUUUUUUUUUUUUCACAUUAAAAACUUCAUUUGUCUUUAGUGGUCGUAUGCUUGCUUGGCAGAAGAAUGUUUUGACCAUCAAGUUUAAAGCAUCUACUGACCACUUGGCCUAAAGGACUCAUUCAGUAUCCCAGCAUCUUCAGUUAAAGUGAGAUCUCGCAAUACAGCGAAGCUGUCCUACAGCAAAGCCUGGAAAGACUAGACUUGAUAUAUGUCCAAGACAACCUGAAAUCCAUGGACCUGAGGAGUGAACCAGCAUUAUCUGUCUAUGGUUCUGAAGUUUCUCCUCUACACUUUGAAGGCUAUUUGCUUUCCUUUUACAGUGUUAGGAGAAUUUUGGAACUCUCUCUUUCCAAAGUUGUCAAGACAAGCUCUGAAGAAUGAGAGCGGAACUACAGAGUGACCUCAAUAUCUGGGAGGCCCCACGUACUCUGGUAGGCCGCCAUGUUUGGUUUCACUGCCAAAAAGAGGCAUGGUAACAGAAGACUCUCUCCCCAUCUGGCAGCUGAGCCAGAGUAAAGGAAGGACUGUUGCAGAGUUGGUGCUAGGCUGCAACAUCCACAGAAGAGUUUGUGCCCCUCUGGACACCUGCUCUAUUUAAAGCUGGUCCUGGAAUACCUACAUUUGUAGGAAGAAUAGUUGUUUGGAAAAAACAGGUUUUCACUACAACAGAGCAUUUUACAAAACCUGGGAACAAAUGGGUGCACAACGGCUGAUAGAAGUGGUUUACAUAAAAACCAAGCUCCUGAGCUUCCCUGGUGCUUCAGCAGUCGGCAAUGAAGAAUGGAAGAUAAACAACUUUCCAGCACAUUCUGCUGCCUGUUACAAAUACAUAGUAACAACCUUUUAUUCUGCUGCUGGUAUAAACAGAUUAACCUAAUUUUCAUGUAUUUGUGUAAACAAAAGUAAACUUUUCCUAAAUUCUUGUAAGCUAAAUUGUCCAUUUGUUUAGAGACUGAACUCUUCAUGGCACCAAAAUCCCAAAAGAAAAUCACUGGGAAUUUAAUAUCUAUAAAUAGCUUAAACUAACAUAGAUAUGUCUGGUCAUAUGUGGUGUUUCAGUGAUUUCCACAUAGGAAUCUAGUCUCGAUGGACAAAGUUAACAAUACGUAUCCCAGACUGCUGUCAAUUUAAUUUUUUUUUAAUGCCCAUGAGUUAAAUAUUACUGCAAUAUAAAUGUUAAAUAACAAGAUGUGAGUGAGUCCAACUGCAGUCAAUCAGAGUGGUGUGUGAACAAGGAAAGAAGAAUCUGGCCCCCUGACAAUUCUUUUUUCUCCACUUGAAUAAUGUCAAUAAAAGUUAUACAUAUGUAUCUGGAGAAGUUCUUUUUUAAAAAACAAUAAUUUCAAAUUUAAAUCAUAUGUUGCAGGGAAUGAGAGAGUUUUUUUCUUCUUGGAUCACUAGGG
This is a long non-coding RNA of Dermochelys coriacea (leatherback sea turtle), 4025 nucleotides long. RefSeq lists it as uncharacterized. The record is from RefSeq and is a predicted model, not a curated record. The transcript is spliced from 7 exons. NCBI's taxonomy places the organism in Eukaryota, Metazoa, Chordata, Testudines, Dermochelyidae.